Molecule: transfer RNA, 70 nt
Filed under: Conomurex luhuanus
Lineage: Eukaryota; Metazoa; Mollusca; Gastropoda; Littorinimorpha; Strombidae
Description: tRNA-Lys
Source: RNAcentral
UCUUAGAUAACUAGAAUAGUGCCAGACUUUUAAUCUGGAAACGGCAUUCAACCUGAAGUGCCUCUAAGAG